Long non-coding RNA from Pseudophryne corroboree (corroboree frog), 520 nucleotides. RefSeq lists it as uncharacterized. The transcript has 4 exons. The record is from RefSeq and is a predicted model, not a curated record. Lineage: Eukaryota; Metazoa; Chordata; Amphibia; Anura; Myobatrachidae.
GCUUGAUCGAUGCUGUCUACGUUGCAUGUGCACUAUACGACGACACUGAUCCCAUACAGAAACUCAGGAUGGACUGUACAGUCAUCCUGCAUAACUGUUUCCCUACAAGCGUGGAAGAAUAGCAAGCUAUUGCAGGGGACUUUGACAGGUGCUGGAAUUUCCCAAACUGUGGUGAUGCGAUAGACAGGAAAUGUGCACAUCACCAAACCCACCAACAGCAGACUUGGCUGAUUUGAAUCAUAUGGGCAAAGAAAGUCCCUUGUAUAGUACAGAAUCCAUGAACAUGGUCCUUGCUGUUUUAGCUAAACUUUUAUCGAAGUCCGUGCUGUUAUUACGGUCAGCCCAGCUGGGAUGCCACGGAGGAGUGGACGGGUAUCAAGCAGCAGUAAGGUCUGAGUACUGGAGUUGCACAGCAGAGAUCCCAGAUGCCCAGGGACUGGAGAGAGAGACCCAUAUGGAAGAAGAAGGCAGGCGACCGCGGCAGCACUGUGAGUGACUCAGUCACUCUAGGGGGUGAAUC